This is a non-coding RNA of Gymnothorax javanicus (giant moray), 72 nucleotides long. NCBI's taxonomy places the organism in Eukaryota, Metazoa, Chordata, Actinopteri, Anguilliformes, Muraenidae. The record is from the annotation of a GenBank genome assembly.
GGCUCCUUGGUCAGGGGGUAUGAUUCUUGCUUAGGAUGCGAGAGCUCCUGAGUUCAACUCCCGGAAGAGCCC